RNAcentral lists this transfer RNA (62 nucleotides) under Aleurodicus dispersus. RNAcentral describes it as "tRNA-His". RNAcentral also lists the same sequence under 1 other name. Lineage: Eukaryota; Metazoa; Arthropoda; Insecta; Hemiptera; Aleyrodidae. The record is from RNAcentral.
AUUUAAGUAGUUUAAUUUAGAAUAAUAAUUUGUGGUGUUAUAGGUGUUGUUAACCUUAAAUU